GAUGAACGCUGGCGGCGUGCCUAAUACAUGCAAGUCGAGCGAACGGACGAGAAGCUUGCUUCUCUGAUGUUAGCGGCGGACGGGUGAGUAACACGUGGAUAACCUACCUAUAAGACUGGGAUAACUUCGGGAAACCGUAGCUAAUACCGGAUAAUAUUUUGAACCGCAUGGUUCAAAAGUGAAAGACGGUCUUGCUGUCACUUAUAGAUGGAUCCGCGCUGCAUUAGCUAGUUGGUAAGGUAACGGCUUACCAAGGCAACGAUGCAUAGCCGACCUGAGAGGGUGAUCGGCCACACUGGAACUGAGACACGGUCCAGACUCCUACGGGAGGCAGCAGUAGGGAAUCUUCCGCAAUGGGCGAAAGCCUGACGGAGCAACGCCGCGUGAGUGAUGAAGGUCUUCGGAUCGUAAAACUCUGUUAUUAGGGAGGGACAUAUGUGUAAGUAACUGUGCACAUCUUGACGGUACCUAAUCAGAAAGCCACGGCUAACUACGUG
RNAcentral lists this ribosomal RNA (497 nucleotides) under uncultured bacterium. RNAcentral's name for it is "partial 16S ribosomal RNA". It matches the Rfam family "Bacterial small subunit ribosomal RNA", at positions 28 to 507 of the family's 1533-position model. The record is from RNAcentral.